Molecule: non-coding RNA, 71 nt
Organism: Araneus ventricosus
Lineage: Eukaryota; Metazoa; Arthropoda; Arachnida; Araneae; Araneidae
Source: the annotation of a GenBank genome assembly
UCCGUCGGCAGGGAGUCGAACCCGGUCAGCUGUUUGUGAAACAGCUAUUCUGACUGUUGCAUUACCGGCGC